RNAcentral lists this ribosomal RNA (492 nucleotides) under uncultured bacterium. Its description in RNAcentral is "partial 16S ribosomal RNA". It matches the Rfam family "Bacterial small subunit ribosomal RNA", at positions 29 to 507 of the family's 1533-position model. The record is from RNAcentral.
AGUGAACGCUGGCGGUAGGCCUAACACAUGCAAGUCGAACGGCAGCACAGUAAGAGCUUGCUCUUACGGGUGGCGAGUGGCGGACGGGUGAGGAAUACAUCGGAAUCUACUUUUUCGUGGGGGAUAACGUAGGGAAACUUACGCUAAUACCGCAUACGACCUACGGGUGAAAGCAGGGGAUCUUCGGACCUUGCGCGAUUGAAUGAGCCGAUGUCGGAUUAGCUAGUUGGCGGGGUAAAGGCCCACCAAGGCGACGAUCCGUAGCUGGUCUGAGAGGAUGAUCAGCCACCCUGGAACUGAGACCCGGUCCAGACUCCUACGGGAGGCAGCAGUGGGGAAUAUUGGACAAUGGGCGCAAGCCUGAUCCAGCCAUACCGCGUGGGUGAAGAAGGCCUUCGGGUUGUAAAGCCCUUUUGUUGGGAAAGAAAAGCAGCAGGUUAAUACCCCGCUGUUCUGACGGUACCCAAAGAAUAAGCACCGGCUAACUUCGUG